RNAcentral lists this ribosomal RNA (467 nucleotides) under uncultured bacterium. RNAcentral's name for it is "partial 16S ribosomal RNA". It matches the Rfam family "Bacterial small subunit ribosomal RNA", at positions 28 to 506 of the family's 1533-position model. The record is from RNAcentral.
GACGAACGCUGGCGGCGUGCUUAACACAUGCAAGUCGAACGGAAAGGCCCUGCUUUUGUGGGGUGCUCGAGUGGCGAACGGGUGAGUAACACGUGAGUAACCUGCCCUUGACUUUGGGAUAACUUCAGGAAACUGGGGCUAAUACCGGAUAGGAGCUCCUGCUGCAUGGUGGGGGUUGGAAAGUUUCGGCGGUUGGGGAUGGACUCGCGGCUUAUCAGCUUGUUGGUGGGGUAGUGGCUUACCAAGGCUUUGACGGGUAGCCGGCCUGAGAGGGUGACCGGCCACAUUGGGACUGAGAUACGGCCCAGACUCCUACGGGAGGCAGGAGUGGGGAAUAUUGGACAAUGGGCGGAAGCAUGAUGCAGCAACGCCGGGUGCGGGAUGACGGCCUUCGGGUUGUAAACCGCUUUCGCCUGUGACGAAGCGUGAGUGACGGUAAUGGGUAAAGAAGCACCGGCUAACUACGU